AGCAUAUCAAUAAGCGGAGGAAAAGAAACUAACAAGGAUUCCCUUAGUAACUGCGAGUGAAGAGGGAAAAGCUCAAAUUUAAAAUCUGGCAGUGUUUCACUGUCCGAGUUGUAACCUAGAGAAGUGUAACCUGCGCUGGACCGUGUAUAAGUCUCCUGGAAUGGAGCGUCACAGAGGGUGAGAAUCCCGUCUUUGACAUGGACCACCAGUGCAUUGUGGUUGUGCUCUCAACGAGUCGAGUUGUUUGGGAAUGCAGCUCUAAAUGGGUGGUAAAUUCCAUCUAAAGCUAAAUAUUGGCGAGAGACCGAUAGCGAACAAGUACCGUGAGGGAAAGAUGAAAAGAACUUUGGAAAGAGAGUUAAACAGUAUGUGAAAUUGUUGAAAGGGAAACGUUUGAAGUCAGUCGCGUUGGUUGGGGAUCAGCCUGACAUUGUUGGGUUUACUUCCUGGUUGACGGGCCAACAUCAGUUUUGACUGCCAGAAAAAGGCCAAAGGAAUGUGGCACCUUUGGGUGUGUUAUAGCCCUUGGUUGUAUAUGGUGGUUGGGACUGAGGAAAGCAGCGUGCCGAAAGGCCGGGUUUCGACCACGUUCACGCUGAGGAUGUUGGCAUAAUGGCUUUAAGCGACCCGUCUUGAAACACGGACCAAGGAGUCUAACAUGCAUGCGAGUGUUUGGGUGGAAAACCCUUACGCGUAAUGAAAGUGAAAGUUGAGAUCCCUGUCGCGGGGAGCAUCGACGCCCGGACCAGAACUUUUGGGACGGAUCUGCGGUAGAGCACGUAUGUUGGGACCCGAAAGAUGGUGAACUAUGCCUGAAUAGGGUGAAGCCAGAGGAAACUCUGGUGGAGGCUCGUAGCGAUUCUGACGUGCAAAUCGAUCGUCAAAUUUGGGUAUAGGGGCGAAAGACUAAUCGAACCAUCUAGUAGCUGGUUCCUGCC
RNAcentral lists this ribosomal RNA (938 nucleotides) under Amanita sp. 'cruentilemurum'. Its description in RNAcentral is "partial large subunit ribosomal RNA". It matches the Rfam family "Eukaryotic large subunit ribosomal RNA", at positions 37 to 962 of the family's 3401-position model. Lineage: Eukaryota; Fungi; Basidiomycota; Agaricomycetes; Agaricales; Amanitaceae. The record is from RNAcentral.